This is an RNA transcript of Chenopodium quinoa (quinoa), 3595 nucleotides long. It is a transcript of the gene named protein transport protein SEC23-like, with no coding region annotated. Lineage: Eukaryota; Viridiplantae; Streptophyta; Magnoliopsida; Caryophyllales; Amaranthaceae. The transcript is spliced from 4 exons. The record is from RefSeq and is a predicted model, not a curated record.
CCAGAAUUUCAUCCUUUUCAUAAAGGUUUUUGUUUAAUUUGGCGGCAAAGUCAUCGAAGAUGGUGGAGUUGUUGGUGGAAAUAUCGGUGGAAGGCGAGUUGAGAUCAGGGAGGGAAGAAGGAGAAAGAUGCAAUGGCGGAGGAAGCUUCAAUGGUGUGUCAGUGAAAUGUUCAUCUCAGGCGCUUAGCACAUUAAUCCAACAAUGCGUUAAACAUGAACAAUACAAAUCUGAUGUGUUAUGUGUAAUCGUGUAUGGUGUAUAAUUUCAUUUAUUUUUAUUUUUAUUAUUAUUAUUUCUUUUUAUUUACGAAUUUGCCAUUAGAUUAAAAAAAAAAAAACAUUAAUCAACUCUGAAAAUCACAGUAUACAAACUUAAUACUCCAUAUAGAAUUUGCGGACUUGCGGGGCACUCUUAUUUCCAAAAUUGCUCACCUACGCAUCCGCAGAUUCCGCACUGGCGCUCUGCUCUGCUCUCAGUCAAAUCCACCCAUUAUCGCCGGCCAUUCUCCGACGAAAUUCCCACUUUCUCUCUCCUCCCUCCACCGAUGCCGGCGGCAUACUCAACGACGACAACCUCAAUUCAUUCAAACUGGAGGUCUUGGAAAUCACUCUCACCACCACCCAAAAUUGAUUUCCCAAUUCGCGAAACCCCAAUAAAGUAAAAACAAAAACAAAAGUAGGGGAAAAAAAAAAUCAAUGGAUUUCCUAGAAUUAGAAGGAAUUGAAGGUUUACGAUGGUCGUGGAAUUCAUGGCCGACUUCGAAAUCCGAGGCAACUUCUCUGGUAAUCCCACUUUCAAUAAUGUGUACACCAUUAGCUUUAAUGGAGUCUUCUGAGCUUCCUGUAUUGGAAUAUGAACCCUUGAUUUGUAUCAAAUGUGGGGCAAUUUUGAACCCUUAUGCUCGGGUUGAUUAUCAAUCAAAGAUUUGGCAUUGCCCUUUUUGUCAUCAUAAAAAUGGGUUUCCUAAAUCGUAUGCUGGGAUUGGUGAAAACAAUCUUCCUGCUGAACUUUUUCCUACUUAUAGUGCGGUUGAAUAUCAGUAUCAGUUUAGUAAUUUAGGGGGUGGAAAUGGGUUGUCUUCUUCCUCUUCAUCUAGCUCGAUUCCGUCGAUGUUGGCCGGGGCGGUUGAUUCGAAACCCGGGCCGGCUUUUGUGUUUGUGGUGGAUCUUUGUACGCCGGAGGAUGAGCUUAGGGCGCUUAAGAAGGAGUUGUUGUAUGUGAUCUCUUUAUUGCCGGAGAAUACAUUGGUGGGAUUGGUUACUUUUGAUUCAAUGGUUAGAGUUCAUGAUUUGGGGUUUGCUGAUUGUAAUAGGGUUGUGCUCUUACAAGGUAGCAGGGAUCUCACCUCAACUCAGAUUCAACAACUUCUUCAAUUUCCAACCAUGAAACAACCUUACCUUGGGAAGACCACAGUUGUCCAAAAGCAAGGCUUUCUGUUACCAGUGUCAGAAUGUGAAUUUAUUGUCACAACAGCAAUUGAAGAGAUAUGCUCUUCAGGAAUUGUUGCUCGUGGUCAUCGCUCUCUGAGGGCCACUGGAACUGCAAUAUCUGUGGCAGUUGGACUUAUAGAAGGAUGUACAGUGAGAACAGGUUCCAGGGUUAUGGUCUUUACAUCUGGGCCUGCAACUGUUGGCCCUGGCAUUGUGGUGGAGUCUGAUUGUAGCUAUUCAAUAAGAAAUCACCGAGAGCUGAUAAAUGGUCAUGCGCCCUUUUUCGAAAUGUCUUGCAGUUUUUAUAAGAAAAUCACUCAGCGAUUAUGUGAUGCUUCCGUAGUUCUUGAUUUGUUUGCUUGUUCUUUGGAUCAAGUGGGAGCAGCAGAGUUAAAAGCCCCAGUUGAAAGGUCAGGUGGAUUUAUGAUGCUUGGAGAAGUAUUUGACUCAGAUCAUUUUAAAAAAUGUUUACAUCACCUAUUUAAAUGUGACAACAAUGGGAACCUGAAGAUGUGUUUUGAUGCAUCUAUUGAAGUGGUGACAACUAAUGAUGUAAAGAUUUGUGGUGCCCUAGGUCCAUGUGUGUCUCUCCGGAAGAGGAAUAGUCUAGUGAGUGACAAUGAGAUUGGGGAAGCUUCUACUAAUGCAUGGAAGUUGUGCUCUCUGACAAACAAGACAUGCAUUGCGUUUUUCUUUGAAGUUAAUGACAGUCAGAAAGUUGAACCUGGCUCUGCAUUUUUUAUUCAGUUUAUUACCCGUUACCGAUAUGGAGCAACUGGGAUCCGGAGAAGGGUGACAACCGUAGCAAGAAGGUGGGUGGGGAAGAAUUCACCGGAGAUUUCUGCUGGAUUCGAUCAAGAAGCUGCAGCCGCUGUCAUGGGCAGGCUUGCAAUUGACAGAGCAGAGAGGCAUUUUGUUAGAGAUGUCAUCAGGUGGCUGGAUGAUAAUUUAAUAAGAUUUGCUUCCCAAUUUGGAGACUACAUUCAAGAAGACCCGUCUUCAUUUCGCCUUUCAUCGAACUUCUCUCUGUAUCCUCAAUUUAUGUAUUAUCUAAGAAGAUCCCAGUUUAUCAAUGUAUUUAACAGCUCUCCAGAUGAGACAGCUUUCUUUACAUUGAUGUUGAAUCGUGAAGGAGUGGUUGGUUCUAUGAUCAUGAUUCAACCAACGCUUUUCCAAUAUUCAUUUGAGGGGCCACCUAUUCCGGUCCUCUUAGAUAUUUGCUCAGUGUCUCCUGAUGUGAUUUUGCUUUUUGAUUCAUACUUCUAUGUUGUCAUUCACUAUGGCUCGAAGGUUGCACAGUGGCGAAAGCUUGGUUAUCACAAGGACCCUAAUCAUGAGACUUUCAGAAAGUUGUUGGAAGCACCUGAACUGGAUGUAGAUCAACUUAUAGCCGAACGGAUGCCAGUUCCUAAAGUCAUCAGAUGUGACCAGCACAGUAGUCAGGCUAGGUUUCUUCUCGCCAAGUUGAAUCCUUCUGUUACCCAUAAUUCAAUGUAUGCUGACGGCUCAGAAAUCAUAUUCACAGAUGAUGUGAGUUUGCAAGUUUUCAUGGAUCACUUACAAGAAUUGGCAGUGCAAGGAUGAUGACAACUUCAUAAUCAUUCCAGAUACAGGAACUACAUUGGCCCAAAAUAGGAAAACUGCUUAGGACUGGCAUUUUUUCCCCUUUUCUGGGGGCACACCACAAGGCUGACAACUAUUUGGUUAUGAGGGUAUUUCGUUUUUCCCCAUUUGCCAUUUUUCACUUUUUGUUAUCCAGAGUUCCGGGUGCAGCUAUUGUCUUUCCAUGAAUUGUGGAUGAACCUGAUGUGGCUGCCUUGAGAUUGUAUAACUUUAUUGGGUUAAGGGGACAAGGAAAGUAAUUGCAUUUGGUGCAUCACUGUAUCAAGUGGCUCAAAAAAAGACUAUGCGCCUGCUCAUGUCAAAAUGCAAUUUAAGCUGUAUAUUCGUACAAAUUAAUGUACUAGUUCCCGUCUUGGAUCAUCUGGUGAUACUCUAGAGUUUAUAGAAGCUGUUCAUUAUUACUCUAGAGUUUAUACUAAAUCUUUCUCCUAAAAAGUGUGCUUUUUGCCUUUCUGGUUCCCCCUUCUGAUUUACUUAAUUUGUUCUUCAGUUUGUGGAGAAAACAUCUGCUGCUAUCAAAUCUUCAGGCUAUGUUUUUUUU